UACGGGGGGGGUAAGCGUUGUUCGGAAUUACUGGGCGUAAAGGGUUCGUAGGUGGCCAACUAAGUCAGACGUGAAAUCCCUCAGCUUAACUGGGGAACUGCGUCUGAUACUGAUUGGCUUGAGUGCAGGAGAGGAACGCGGAAUUCCAGGUGUAGCGGUGAAAUGCGUAGAUAUCUGGAGGAACACCGGUGGCGAAGGCGGGUCUCUGGGCCGAUACUGACGCUGAGGAGCGAAAGCGUGGGGAGCGAACAGG
This 253-nucleotide ribosomal RNA is filed under the name uncultured bacterium. RNAcentral describes it as "partial 16S ribosomal RNA". It matches the Rfam family "Bacterial small subunit ribosomal RNA", at positions 524 to 776 of the family's 1533-position model. The record is from RNAcentral.